GAGAGAGAGAGAGAGAGAGAGAGAGAGAGAGAGAGAGAGAGAGAGAGAGAGAGAGAGAGAAAGAGAGAGUGAUUAUAAUAUUUAAGGUGCUUCCCUCGUGAUUAUACUAUGGUGUCUGUACAUUUUGCAGCGAGUCAGUGAGUUUUGCUAGAUAGCUUAAAAAUCGUUGUAAAUACGUCUUCUGCGUCUCUAUCGACAACAUAUUCGGCCCCAUAAUCGGUUGAUCGAGCUCACGGUUAAUUUA
Molecule: long non-coding RNA, 244 nt
Organism: Apis florea (little honeybee)
Lineage: Eukaryota; Metazoa; Arthropoda; Insecta; Hymenoptera; Apidae
Source: RefSeq, a predicted model, not a curated record